UACGUAGGGUGCGAGCGUUGUCCGGAAUUAUUGGGCGUAAAGAGCUCGUAGGCGGUCUGUCGCGUCGGUCGUGAAAACUUGGGGCUUAACCCUGGGCUUGCGGUCGAUACGGGCAUGACUGGAGUUCGGUAGGGGAGACUGGAAUUCCUGGUGUAGCGGUGAAAUGCGCAGAUAUCAGGAGGAACACCGGUGGCGAAGGCGGGUCUCUGGGCCGAUACUGACGCUGAGGAGCGAAAGCGUGGGGAGCGAACAGG
Molecule: ribosomal RNA, 254 nt
Filed under: uncultured bacterium
Lineage: Bacteria
Description: partial 16S ribosomal RNA
Rfam family: Bacterial small subunit ribosomal RNA
Source: RNAcentral